UGUGCAUUCACUGAGGGAAGCUGGACAUCCACUGUAGGAAGUUGUGCAUUCACUGAGGGAAGCUGGACAUCGGCUGUAGGAAGUUGUGCAUUCACUGAGGGAAGCUGGACAUCGGCUGUAGGAAGUUGUGCACCUACUGAGGGAAGCUGCUCAUCUGCUGUAGGAAGUUGUGCACCUACUGAGGGAAGCUGCUCAUCUGCUGCAGGAAGCUGUGCACCUACUGUGGGAAGCUGCUCAUCUGCUGUAGCAAGCUGUGCACCUACUGUGGGAAGCUGUUCAUCUGCUGUAGGAAGCUGUGCACCUACUGUGGGAAGCUGCUCAUCUGCUGUAGGAAGCUGUGCACCUACUGUGGGAAGCUGCUCAUCUGCUGUAGGAAGCUGUGCACCUAC
RNAcentral lists this long non-coding RNA (389 nucleotides) under Rattus norvegicus (Norway rat). RNAcentral's name for it is "long non-coding RNA NONRATT003769". Lineage: Eukaryota; Metazoa; Chordata; Mammalia; Rodentia; Muridae. The record is from RNAcentral.